This is a long non-coding RNA of Leucoraja erinaceus (little skate), 191 nucleotides long. RefSeq lists it as uncharacterized. The record is from RefSeq and is a predicted model, not a curated record. The transcript has 6 exons. NCBI's taxonomy places the organism in Eukaryota, Metazoa, Chordata, Chondrichthyes, Rajiformes, Rajidae.
AGAAUUGGAGAAACUAAAAGGCAUCCUUUUGGAGUAUGAACAAAAAAUGAGUGUCAAAGACAAAGCACUCGUGAAAUUGAAAGAAACUGUUAUAGAGUAUGAAAUGAAACAAACCACGCAUGACACAGAAUGCUUGAAAAUGAAGGACGAUCUAGAUGAUAAAGUGCAAGCAUUAGCAAAGAAGGACAGAG